AUCGCUUCUCGGCCUUUUGGCUAAGAUCAAGUGUAAAUUCAAUGUCAAAUUUAUUACAACUGACCAGUGCAUCCAUGUUUGGAAUUCAAAGUGGGUACACCUCUCUCAGCAAGGAUAUCAUUAUGCACCAAGGAAAAACAACU
Molecule: small nuclear RNA, 143 nt
Filed under: Fukomys damarensis (Damara mole-rat)
Lineage: Eukaryota; Metazoa; Chordata; Mammalia; Rodentia; Bathyergidae
Description: U2 spliceosomal RNA
Rfam family: U2 spliceosomal RNA
About the family: U2 is a small nuclear RNA (snRNA) component of the spliceosome (involved in pre-mRNA splicing).
Source: Rfam by way of RNAcentral